CUAUAUUUUACAUAUAUUUUAUAUUCAGCUACUGUAAUAGGCCACAGAUAGUGAUUGACAGCUUUAUAAGCAAGUCAGAAUCAUACGUUACUCCCAUGGUCCUAAAGUCCGUAAACGAUACACGGACUGAUUUUACUGACGGACAGGAAGUAAGAGCAACAGAAAGUAGCUUCGGUUAAUUGGCCUAUCAGCGAUGAGAACUCCUGAUCACGUAUUAGAUCUGUCAGUCACGCAGGAAAGCCUUUCGCAAUGCUGAGCAGCUCAAAGGGAGGAAUCACCGGGUCUAAAUGAAUGAACAUCCUGACAGUGGCUGCAAACGUGUGUGAAUGGCGGCUGCGCGGCUCCUCCAGCUGCGUCCCACAGUCACCGUUCCAACAAUGGAGGCUGCUCCGCGUUUCCCUCUCACCGCGGCCGCUCCGCACGCAGCCAAUCCACUGAUCACUCCAUCCACCUGUGACCUCACCCACCGCAACUGCAUCCCCACACACGGGCACCGACUCCACACAGGCACAAACACCUGAGCCACAGCUCUUGGAAUGAUUUCACAUUUUCCUAACGGUUGGUUUGAGUCAGUUAAACACAGUAACCUUGAAUGGAACGCGUUUCCUGUGUCCUCUGUGCAGCCGCUCUAAAGCAGUCUCCAAUGUCAGCUGUCUGAGCUGGUGUCAGUGGACAAAGCGCCCUUUGACCUCUGGGAGGGGAAACCCUUCCUCCCAACGCUCGGUUUCAGCGGGUCCAUUGUUUACUCCUGAAGCACUUAACUAACUGUCUUUAACUUUUCUUUUACUUGUUUUCAUGCACUGUUCAUAAAUCAAACACAGACGCAAAAGUGAAAACCCAUUAUUGGUCUUUUGCUCUAAAUCAGCAGGUAGAGAAGCUCUUAUUUUGUAGUAUUUAUUAGUUUGAAGUGACAGCUUGGACUAAUCCACCUCUUACCAGUGAUUCUCUGCGCGUUGCUGCGAGCUGAGCAGGUGUGAGGUCUUUUCUUACUGGCGAGAGGCAACCAGAUGGUGUUUGUGUGUCGUGGCGAUGCAGUGGUGGUUCCUUUCACAGAUCAGCACUCAUAUCUCUGCUCCAUCUCCAGGCUCUCCGCUCAUAUAAACAUCCCCGGCCCACGGACCUCUGAUGUUUUUGCCAUUGUGUUUACAGUGAGAAGUCAGGCAAAUACGUGAACCUUCGGACAAAGAGAACAAGGAUGAACAAUGACUGAGCGCUUGAAUUAGUUGCAGUGAACUAUUACAUUCCUUUUAUAUAGAUGAUGUAAGAUUUAUAAAUGUAUCAAGACAAAACAUUUGACUAGGUGCAAGUGCUGAAAUGUCUCUUCCCUUUAGCAAUCAGCAGGCUUAAACAAUCCAGUUUGAUCCAGCGGUGGAUUUCAUACACACACUGCAGCCUCUGGUCUGUGCGCCACACUCCAAGUUCAAGUACUGAUUGAGCAAAGAGUUGGGUGGAACAAAAAAAAAAAAAAGAGAAAACCAUU
Molecule: long non-coding RNA, 1480 nt
Organism: Betta splendens (Siamese fighting fish)
Lineage: Eukaryota; Metazoa; Chordata; Actinopteri; Anabantiformes; Osphronemidae
Exons: 3
Source: RefSeq, a predicted model, not a curated record